This 104-nucleotide small nuclear RNA is filed under the name Sus scrofa (pig). Lineage: Eukaryota; Metazoa; Chordata; Mammalia; Artiodactyla; Suidae. The record is from RNAcentral.
AUGCUCAUUUCAGCAGCACGUGUACUAAAAUGGAAACACUACAGAGAAGAUUAGCAUGCCCUGUGUAGCAUGCCACACAAAUUCAUGAAACAUUUAUCUUUAUG